Molecule: ribosomal RNA, 537 nt
Filed under: uncultured bacterium
Lineage: Bacteria
Description: partial 16S ribosomal RNA
Rfam family: Bacterial small subunit ribosomal RNA
Source: RNAcentral
UGGGGAAUAUUGCACAAUGGGCGCAAGCCUGAUGCAGCAACGCCGCGUGAGGGACGACGGCCUUCGGGUUGUAAACCUCUUUUAGUAGGGAAGAAGCGAAGGUGACGGUACCUGCAGAAAAAGCACCGGCUAACUACGUGCCAGCAGCCGCGGUAAUACGUAGGGUGCGAGCGUUGUCCGGAAUUAUUGGGCGUAAAGAGCUCGUAGGCGGUCUGUCGCGUCUGCUGUGAAAACCCGAGGCUCAACCUCGGGCCUGCAGUGGGUACGGGCAGACUAGAGUGCGGUAGGGGAGAAUGGAAUUCCUGGUGUAGCGGUGGAAUGCGCAGAUAUCAGGAGGAACACCGAUGGCGAAGGCAGUUCUCUGGGCCGUAACUGACGCUGAGGAGCGAAAGCGUGGGGAGCGAACAGGAUUAGAUACCCUGGUAGUCCACGCCGUAAACGUUGGGCGCUAGAUGUGGGGACCAUUCCACGGUUUCCGUGUCGCAGCUAACGCAUUAAGCGCCCCGCCUGGGGAGUACGGCCGCAAGGCUAAAACUU